Molecule: ribosomal RNA, 681 nt
Filed under: Terminalia franchetii
Lineage: Eukaryota; Viridiplantae; Streptophyta; Magnoliopsida; Myrtales; Combretaceae
Description: eukaryotic LSU rRNA
Source: RNAcentral
UCGCCGCCGACGACGUCGCGAGAAGUCCACUGAACCUUAUCAUUUAGAGGAAGGAGAAGUCGUAACAAGGUUUCCGUAGGUGAACCUGCGGAAGGAUCAUUGUCGAUACCUGCAAAGCAGAACGACCCGCGAACCGUUUUCCAACACCCGGGAUACCGGGGGGCGUCCAGCCGCUCGGUAGCCCAAGGCUCCGGACGUCGAGGGUGCAACCCACCUCCGGCGGAUGGAGCUUCAAACAAACCCCGGCGCGCGAAGCGCCAAGGUACUCCAACAAUAGGGCAUGCUCCCGUAGCCCUGGGUUCCAGUGUGCUCGGGUUGCUGUUCAAUGUCAUAAAGUCUAAACGACUUCGAGUCUUUGACGCAAGUUGCGCCCGAAGCCUCGGCUGAGGGCACGUCUGCCUGGGUGUCACACAUCGCGUUGCCUCCAAMCCUUUGCCCUCGAAAGUUGCGGCGAUGGUUGUUUGGAUGCGGAAGCUGGCCUCCCGUGACCUCGAGCCACGGAUGGCCCAAAUACGUGCUAGGGAAGCGAAGCGCCACGGCAUUCGGUGGUUGAUCCAAGCCCCAGAAACGGUGCCGGUGGUGGCCGCAUUUGUUCCCAGCCUACGACCCUAAACGUUAACCAACGCGACCUCAGGUCAGGCGGGGCUACCCGCUGAGUUUAAGCAUAUCAAUAAGCGGAGG